RNAcentral lists this ribosomal RNA (440 nucleotides) under uncultured bacterium. RNAcentral's name for it is "partial 16S ribosomal RNA". It matches the Rfam family "Bacterial small subunit ribosomal RNA", at positions 338 to 795 of the family's 1533-position model. The record is from RNAcentral.
CCUACGGGAGGCAGCAGUGGGGGAUAUUGCACAAUGGGGGGAACCCUGAUGCAGCGACGCCGCGUGGGUGAAGAAGCGCCUCGGCGCGUAAAGCCCUGUCAGCAGGGAAGAAAAUGACGGUACCUGAAGAAGAAGCCCCGGCUAACUACGUGCCAGCAGCCGCGGUAAUACGUAGGGGGCAAGCGUUAUCCGGAUUUACUGGGUGUAAAGGGGGCGCAGACGGCGAUGCAAGCCAGGAGUGAAAGCCCGGGGCCCAACCCCGGGACUGCUUUUGGAACUGCGUGGCUAGAGUGCAGGAGGGGCAGGCGGAAGUCCUGGUGUAGCGGUGAAAUGCGUAGAUAGCAGGAGGAACGCCGGUGGCGAAGGCGGCCUGCUGGACUGCAACUGACGUUGAGGCCCGAAAGCGUGGGGAGCAAACAGGAUUAGAUACCCGUGUAGUC